UGAGGUCAUAAAGGCAGGGCUCUAACCCAAUAGGACUGGUGUUCUUAUAAGAAGAAGAAGGGACAUCAGAGAUCUCUCUCAGAGCACAGGGAGAAGAAACGCCAUGUGAGGACCCAGCAAGAAGGUGGCUGUCUGCAAGCAGAGAAGAGAGCACUCACCAGAAACAGAAUUUGCUGGCACUUGUAUCUUGGACUUCUGGCCUCUGGAAGUACUCUUGCUACUAUCUGCAUCGAUCUACACUGGGCUUGAGCAUGAACAUCCUGAGGGGCCACCCUGCUCUGAUGCCAGGCCCUGCAGGGGCUCCAUGACCAUGGGGCAUGAGUGAGUUCACAGCACUGAGAUGCACAUGAACAGGGCUUCAAACCCCAGCUCACCUCUGAUGCCCCUUGUGACAGCUCUUCACCUGACAAGAGGAUGUUGUCAUCUUCCUGACAUCCCCCAGCACCUGCAUAGUGAGAUGCAAAUCUACCUCAGGGCACUCAGAUGCCACCAGACAUGGAUGUAGCCACCGAUUCUCCAGACACAUCUUGCCCUUUCAUUUGAUGCUCUACUGGAUCUUAAAAUGACAGUCAGGCUACCUGUUUCCUGUCUGCACACCUUUGGCUACACUCUCUGCUACUCAUCUUUCAAGGCCAAGUUCAAACAUCACCUCCUCACGGAAGCCCUCCUGGUGUCCUCCUGAUUGUUCCUACAACCUCUGCAUCUAUUUCCACAGCAGCCCUUGACACAUCAUGUCCUGUAACAUGUCUGCUUGUCCAUUCUCCUCUGAGUGUGAGCUCCUUGAAGACACAGCGAUUCUCCAGGGCCUAGCACAAUCUCUGCCAUAUAGUAUGUGCUCAAUAAAUACUUACUGAAUAAGUGAAUAAAUGGAGCAAUAACAUACUAA
Molecule: long non-coding RNA, 886 nt
Filed under: Homo sapiens (human)
Lineage: Eukaryota; Metazoa; Chordata; Mammalia; Primates; Hominidae
Description: HSALNT0405420
Source: RNAcentral